GAAAACGUAGUUUAUACAAAACCUUGCUUUGAUAGGGCAAAGAAACAACAUAUGUUGUCAUUUUUA
RNAcentral lists this transfer RNA (66 nucleotides) under Asymmetron inferum. RNAcentral describes it as "tRNA-Ile". Lineage: Eukaryota; Metazoa; Chordata; Leptocardii; Amphioxiformes; Branchiostomatidae. The record is from RNAcentral.